GUCGUGAGAUGUUGGGUUAAGUCCCGCAACGAGCGCAACCCCUGUCGCAUGUUGCCAGCAUUAAGUUGGGGACUCAUGCGAGACUGCCGGUGACAAACCGGAGGAAGGUGGGGAUGACGUCAAGUCCUCAUGCCCCUUAUGUCCAGGGCUACACACGUGCUACAUUGGCCGGUACAAAGGGCUGCGAUACCGCGAGGUGGAGCGAAUCCCAAAAAGCCGGUCUCGGUUCGGAUUGGAGGCUGAAACUCGCCUCCAUGAAGGCGGAGUCGCUAGUAAUCCCGGAUCAGCAACGCCGGGGUGAAUACGUUCCCGGGCCUUGUACACACCGCCCGUCACACCACGAAAGCAGGCAACACCCGAAGUCGGUGACCCAACCCUCACGGGAGGGAGCCGCCGAAGGUGGGGCUCGUGAUUGGGGUGAAGUCGUAACAAGGUAGCCGUACCGGAAGGUGCGGCUGGAUCACCUCCUUUCUAGGGAGCUCCUAACUAUGGAGUCCGCCGUGUCGGCCUUAUGGCCGGCCGGCGUCCUUAGCAUGUCGACCGAACCUUGUUGGCCUCCGCUUCGGCGGAAGUCAUUGCACUGCUGAGUUUGAGAGACCAGCCGGGGAGUCCCCCCGGUGGCGCCCUCGCCGGUCCUUGAAAACUGCACAGUUGGCCAAAUAAGACGGGUAAAUCACCAGUCGCGUCCGGGCCUCGGUCCGUGCGCGGCGAUCACCGUCAAGAUAAUAAGGGCACAUGGUGGAUGCCUUGGCAUCAGGAGUCGAUGAAGGGCGUGGACGGCUGCGAUAAGCCGCGGUGAGCUGCUGAACAGGCUUUGACCCGCGGAUGC
RNAcentral lists this small RNA (829 nucleotides) under uncultured Rubrobacterales bacterium. Its description in RNAcentral is "bacterial LSU rRNA". The stretch from base 1 to 471 matches the Rfam family "Bacterial small subunit ribosomal RNA", at positions 1064 to 1533 of the family's 1533-position model. The record is from RNAcentral. Lineage: Bacteria; Bacillati; Actinomycetota; Rubrobacteria; Rubrobacterales.